UACGGAGGAUGCGAGCGUUAUCCGGAUUUAUUGGGUUUAAAGGGUGCGUAGGCGGCCGAGUAAGUCAGCGGUGAAAUUUUGCGGCUUAACUGUAACAGUGCCGUUGAUACUGCAUGGCUAGGAUUUGGUUGCUGUGGGUGGAAUGUGUGGUGUAGCGGUGAAAUGCUUAGAUAUCACACAGAAUAUCAAUUGCGAAGGCAGCUCACAAAGCCAAGAUUGACGCUGAGGCACGAAAGUGUGGGGAUCAAACA
RNAcentral lists this ribosomal RNA (251 nucleotides) under uncultured prokaryote. RNAcentral describes it as "partial 16S ribosomal RNA". It matches the Rfam family "Bacterial small subunit ribosomal RNA", at positions 524 to 774 of the family's 1533-position model. The record is from RNAcentral.